This 85-nucleotide transfer RNA is filed under the name Clostridium sp. CAG:678. It matches the Rfam family "tRNA". From Rfam's summary of the family: Transfer RNA (tRNA) molecules are approximately 80 nucleotides in length. Their secondary structure includes four short double-helical elements and three loops (D, anti-codon, and T loops). The record is from Rfam by way of RNAcentral. Lineage: Bacteria; Bacillati; Bacillota; Clostridia; Eubacteriales; Clostridiaceae.
GGAGAGGUAUCGAAGCGGUCAUAACGAGGCGGUCUUGAAAACCGUUUGGCCAAAAGCCACAUGGGUUCGAAUCCCAUCCUCUCCG